AUCAAGUAAUGGUUCCCCACCAAAAAGGGGAUAAAAGGGAAUUCGGUUCCGUCCAUACAGAGACUAUUCCGAAGCUGCCCCCGCAACUGUGUGUGGUAGUGAUACAUCCGUAAACCACUGGGAAACCGGGAAGGAAGAUGUAUUGCGUUAAUCCGCAAGCCAGGAGACCUGCCAUUGCAUG
Molecule: non-coding RNA, 181 nt
Filed under: uncultured Oxalobacter sp.
Lineage: Bacteria; Pseudomonadati; Pseudomonadota; Betaproteobacteria; Burkholderiales; Oxalobacteraceae
Source: RNAcentral